RNAcentral lists this long non-coding RNA (324 nucleotides) under Mytilus galloprovincialis (Mediterranean mussel). Lineage: Eukaryota; Metazoa; Mollusca; Bivalvia; Mytilida; Mytilidae. The record is from RNAcentral.
GGCUUGUAAUCUGAUGUACAGUUGUCGUCGUCUGUUUAUGUAGUGCAUAGGUGUUUCUCAUUUUUAUAUAGAUUAGAACGUUGGUUUUCCGGUUUGAAUGGUUUUACACUAGUAAUUUGUUGGGGCCCUUUAUAGCUUGCUGUUCGGUGUGAGCCAAGGCUCCGUGUUGAAGGCCGUACCUUGACCUGUAAUGGUUUACUUUUAUAAAUUGUUACUUGGAUGGAGAGUUAUCUCAUUGGCACUCAUACCACAUCUUCCUAUAUCUAUAGUAGUCUUUCCCUCAUAAUUUGUUUUUGUUACCUGUUUUAAAAUCAUAUAGUUUCC